CCUACGGGAGGCUGCAGUGAGGAAUAUUGGUCAAUGGGCGCGAGCCUGAACCAGCCAAGUAGCGUGAAGGAUGACUGCCCUACGGGUUGUAAACUUCUUUUAUAAAGGCAUAAAGUGAGGCACGUGUGCCUUUUUGUAUGUACUUUAUGAAUAAGGAUCGGCUUCCUUCGUGCCAGCAGCCGCGGUAAUACGGAGGAUCCGGACGUUAUCCGGAUUUAUUGGGUUUAAAGGGAUCGGAGAUGGGUUGUUAAGUCAGUUGUGAAAGUUUGCGGCUCAACCGUAAAAUUGCAAUUGAUACUGGCAGUCUUGAGUACAGUUGAGGUAGGCGGAAUUCGUGGUGUAGCGGUGAAAUGCUUAGAUAUCACGAAGAACUCCGAUUGCGAAGGCAGCUUACUAAACUGCCACUGACAUUGAUGCUCGAAAGUGUGGGUAGCAAACAGGAUUAGAUACCCGGGUAGUC
This 460-nucleotide ribosomal RNA is filed under the name uncultured bacterium. RNAcentral describes it as "partial 16S ribosomal RNA". It matches the Rfam family "Bacterial small subunit ribosomal RNA", at positions 338 to 795 of the family's 1533-position model. The record is from RNAcentral.